CAGCAGGAUGGUGGCCAUGGAAGUUGGAAUUCACUAAGGAAUGUGUAACAACUCACCUGCCAA
Nomascus leucogenys (northern white-cheeked gibbon) is the source of this 63-nucleotide ribosomal RNA. It matches the Rfam family "Eukaryotic large subunit ribosomal RNA", at positions 1238 to 1300 of the family's 3401-position model. Lineage: Eukaryota; Metazoa; Chordata; Mammalia; Primates; Hylobatidae. The record is from Rfam.